RNAcentral lists this long non-coding RNA (550 nucleotides) under Mytilus galloprovincialis (Mediterranean mussel). Lineage: Eukaryota; Metazoa; Mollusca; Bivalvia; Mytilida; Mytilidae. The record is from RNAcentral.
GGUAAACUGUACAAGUUACUUUGGUACAUGCAUGAGCAUGAAGGUUAUAAUUUCAAAUGGUUUAACUAUGUAAAAUCUGUGUUUAAUGACUGUGGCUUUUGUGAAAUAUAUAAUGUUCCGGAGCAAGUUGAUUAUAAUUAUAUUAAAACUAAUGUGAGGCAGCGUCUCCAGGACCAGUUUAUUCAAAAAUGGUUCUCUGAUAUAAAUAACUCAUCAAGGGGGGAAUUUUAUUUACACUUUAAAGAAGAGUUUUGCUUAGAACCAUAUCUGUUAAAAUUAAGGCGGGGUCAUAGAGUAAAUAUAUGUAAAUUAAGGGUAUGUAAUACAAAGUUUCCCAUUGAAACAGGAAGAUGGAGAAAUGUACCACGAAAUGAGAGAAUUUGUCCUCUUUGUAAAGCUGGUCUUGGGGAUGUGUACCACUAUAUAUGUAUAUGUACCAAUUAUAAAGUUAAAGAUUUAAGGGGGAAGUUCAUACCUCCUUAUUAUUUAAAAUAUCCAAAUGUUAAAAAAGUACUGGGCAUGCUUAAAUAUUGUAAUAAUAAUGUGCUGU